UGGCGAUGAUGACUAUCUUAGGACACCUUUGGAUUCAAAGAUGAAACAAAUCAUUGAUCUGAGUCAC
Molecule: small nucleolar RNA, 67 nt
Organism: Spea bombifrons (plains spadefoot toad)
Lineage: Eukaryota; Metazoa; Chordata; Amphibia; Anura; Pelobatidae
Product: small nucleolar RNA SNORD58
Exons: 1
Source: RefSeq, a predicted model, not a curated record